GAUGAGCAUCAAACCGUUUUUCUUCGCAUUCUUUUUUACCUUCCCCUGACUGGGAGGCGUUUCGUCGUAUAAGAAAGAAUGCGAAGACGAACAAAAAGCCUCCCACCGGGAGGCUUUUUUUUU
This is a non-coding RNA of Dendroctonus ponderosae (mountain pine beetle), 123 nucleotides long. The record is from Rfam. Lineage: Eukaryota; Metazoa; Arthropoda; Insecta; Coleoptera; Curculionidae.